AAGAGAUAUCCAAAGUUUAGCUGCGGGCUUGCACGCUUCGGAGCGAAGAGUCAUCCGCUUCUCCUCCAGCUAUGUGGUUCAACGCGAAUCCAAAACAUGAGUACAGAAAAUACUUAAAAGCAAGGCGUUGAUUGAAUUAAGGGUUCAAUCAUUUUACCUAAUAGCUUGGAACAAAGACAAGACAGGGCAUCCCCAGCACCAGUGUUCUGAGGCCGGGGUACCUCAGUUUUGGUCCUGGGCUUCACUACUCCUGCUGGCUUUCAUGACAGCUGAGCUCUCUACUUCAGUGAAUCCUCAAAUGAGCCAAAACGAUCAUGGAAAUUGCCGAUUCUCCAGUACCUACCACUGUUACUACUGCUGUUAUACUGUAGAGCUACAGAACUGCAGUAUUGUGCCGGGAGAGUCUGGUUUCCUUCUGGAGUGUGGGGUUUGGAUUUUUCUGUGUCUUGUGCUCUGUGCUUUGUACAGUAUAUGAAGCCAGAGUCUUCACAGAACGUUUCUCAGGAUUCCCUUGACAUUACGACACGCUUUUCCAUUGGGUCUUCACCUGCAGACAUGCGUUCAGUCAUUUCACAGCAUGGCUGAAAACUGGAGCAGAUGGCUUACUCUGCUUUCGCUCUGUCCUUGUGACAUUCUGAAUUCCAGAGGCCAGCUGACUGGUCCCCAAGAGAGAGAUCUGACUGAAACCAAUUAGAAGACCGAUGUGAAAGCGUGAGGGAGUGUCACAGCUGUGUGACUGACAACACUGGCCAAUAGCCUGUAAAGGGACUUCAGGUUCAUUGAGAUAGUACUGUGAUAUUUCCCCAAAUUCAGCCCUGUGUGAUGUUUUAUAGCUUUAAUAAUAAUACAUUUUGUUUUUAUAUAGUCCCUUUCAUGUUGAGACAUCUUCACACACUUCAUAGCUAAGGGAACAAUGAUACAGUAAUUAAUUGGUCGACUAACACAUGAUGAUAAACUUUAAAAAGCAAAGUUAUAUUACAAAUUGGAUAAUUUUACAAAGCCUUUGAUAGUAUAGAAUUUCAUAACUGUAGACAAUUCUUUUGCCCCAUGUGUCUUAAAUCAUCUUAGCAAUGAGCAAUGCCUUAGUUUUCAUUCUCUACCCUGUUUCCCUCUCCCCUUUUGAAGUCUGCUUCAAAAUCUGACUUUCUAAUAAAAACAAAUAUUUUUAUUUAUCUGUAAAUCUAAACCAGGGUCAAUAAAUCUGUAAUGGAGCAAUAGUGAUUACAUGGCAUUUAUCACUGGGCCUAGCUUGCAAGAACACAUUUUUUUUAAAUAAGGGUGCUUUAAAGUUUAAAUAGAAGUCUACAAAUAUUUAUUAAAGGUCUUUUUUUAACUGUACUGCUGAAACACACUAUCAAAUCUUCAAACUCUUGUGAAAGAGACGGCAAACCUGUGCACUGGACCAAAGUACUGUGAGAUUUUCAGAAUCAUGUACUUUAUACAAAAUGUCUUUCACGUUUUUUUAAAACCCAAAGGAACAGUAUCUGUUCUGCAAUUAACAAGAAAUGCAUGUAUUUUCAAAACCUAGCUCCAGAUAGAUGUGUCUUCAUAGGAACAUGCAGUGAAUAAAGCCCUGAUCUCUGUGAUCCCUGUGACUGGUUCAGCAGUGUGCUCUACUCUGUCAGACGUUGUCCAUCCUGUAGCUGGAAAGGGAGUGUGUGGAUGGGGGGUGGGGGGUGCACUAUGUUAGGCAUGCAGCCUGACUUGUGCUGGCUUGUCCAGUCAUCGCAGAGACAUGCUUCCUGGCCCAGGGAAUAUCCCAAAAUUGUGGGUGUCUCUCUGUCAGCGCUCUGUCCUGCCCAGACCAGCAGUCUGACCCUCGGUGCUUCGAUCCCGAGUUGAGAGGGGCCAGAGAGAGGGGCUGACGGGGGCUGCAGGCCCCUGCCUCCCAGAUGUUACUGUCACUGUGAAUGCACCAAGCCUGCUGUAGGGCUUAGGCUUCUGCACAGUCUUGCCUGUGAAACAGAAGUACUGUAUGUACGCAUGUGUGAAUAGGUUAAUACUGCACAGUUUGGACUGUAACCUUGUCAUUUAUGAAACUUUGUCAUUUGUGAAACCGAAUUCUUUUUCCUCGUGUUAUAUCUUAUUUUUGAACUAUAAAUGCGUUUGUCGCCAGGUAUAAAAUAAAUGCAUGUAAAGAGACAUGUUGAGUUAUUGCUUGCUUAAAAAAGUGCAAAGCAAAUCUGUCUUGUUUCUCUUUUCUUUUCUAAUCACGAUCCAGUUACCUUCAAAAUGUGGGAGGCUGAAACACUAAAA
Long non-coding RNA from Lepisosteus oculatus (spotted gar), 2256 nucleotides. RefSeq lists it as uncharacterized. The record is from RefSeq and is a predicted model, not a curated record. Lineage: Eukaryota; Metazoa; Chordata; Actinopteri; Semionotiformes; Lepisosteidae.